RNAcentral lists this transfer RNA (74 nucleotides) under Dermacentor silvarum. Its description in RNAcentral is "transfer RNA glutamine (anticodon CUG)". It matches the Rfam family "tRNA". From Rfam's summary of the family: Transfer RNA (tRNA) molecules are approximately 80 nucleotides in length. Their secondary structure includes four short double-helical elements and three loops (D, anti-codon, and T loops). Lineage: Eukaryota; Metazoa; Arthropoda; Arachnida; Ixodida; Ixodidae. The record is from RNAcentral.
GGUCUCAUGGUGUAACGGUUAGCACUCUGGACUCUGAAUCCAGCAAUCCGAGUUCAAAUCUCGGUGAGACGUCG